GAGAGUUUGAUCCUGGCUCAGGACGAACGCUGGCGGCGUGCCUAAUACAUGCAAGUCGAGCGAGCUGAAUUCAAAGAUUCCAACGGGAUGAUUUGUUGGACGCUAGCGGCGGAUGGGUGAGUAACACGUGGGCAAUCUGCGGAAAAGACUGGGAUACCACUUGGAAACAGGUGCUAAUACCGGAUAACAACAUGAAUCGCAUGAUUCAAGUAAGAAAGGCGGCGUAAGCUGUCACUUUAGGAUGAGCCCGCGGCGCAUUAGCUAGUUGGUGGGGUUUUGGCCUACCAAGGCAAUGAUGCGUAGCCGAGUUGAGAGACUGAUCGGCCACAUUGGGACUGAGACACGGCCCAAACUCCUACGGGAGGCAGCAGUAGGGAAUCUUCCACAAUCCACGCAAGUCUGAUGGAGCAACGCCGCGUGAGUGAAGAAGGAAAACGGAUCGUAAAGCUCUGUUGUUGGUGAAGAAGGAUAGAGGCAGUAACUGGUCUUUAUUUGACGGUAAUCAACCAGAAAGUCACGGCUAACUACGUGCCAGCAGCCGCGGUAAUACGUAGGUGGCAAGCGUUGUCCGGAUUUAUUGGGCGUAAAGCGAGCGCAGGCGGAAUGAUAAGUCUGAUGUGAAAGCCCACGGCUCAACCGUGGAACUGCAUCGGAAACUGUCAUUCUUGAGUGCAGAAGAGGAGAGUGGAAUUCCAUGUGUAGCGGUGUAAUGCGUAGAUAUAUGGAAGAACACCAGUGGCGAAGGCGGCUCUCUGGUCUGCAACUGACGCUGAGGCUCGAAAGCAUGGGUAGCGAACAGGAUUAGAUACCCUGGUAGUCCAUGCCGUAAACGAUGAGCGCUAGGUGUUGGGGACUUUCCGGUCCUCAGUGCCGCAGCAAACGCAUUAAGCGCUCCGCCUGGGGAGUACGACCGCAAGGUUGAAACUCAAAGGAAUUGACGGGGGCCCGCACAAGCGGUGGAGCAUGUGGUUUAAUUCGAAGCAACGCGAAGAACCUUACCAGGUCUUGACAUCCUGUGCUACACCUAGACAUAGGUGGUUCCCUUCGGGGACGCAGAGACAGGUGGUGCAUGGCUGUCGUCAGCACGUGUCGUGAGAUGUUGGGUUAAGUCCCGCAACGAGCGCAACCCUUGUCAAAAGUUGCCAUCAUUAAGUUGGGCACUCUAAAGAGACUGCCGGUGACAAACCGGAGGAAGGUGGGGAUGACGUCAAGUCAUCAUGCCCCAAAUGACCUGGGCUACACACGUGCUACAAUGGGCAGUACAACGAGAAGCGAAGGGCCG
RNAcentral lists this ribosomal RNA (1282 nucleotides) under Lactobacillus delbrueckii subsp. lactis. RNAcentral describes it as "bacterial SSU rRNA". It matches the Rfam family "Bacterial small subunit ribosomal RNA", at positions 8 to 1259 of the family's 1533-position model. Lineage: Bacteria; Bacillati; Bacillota; Bacilli; Lactobacillales; Lactobacillaceae. The record is from RNAcentral.